Molecule: long non-coding RNA, 405 nt
Filed under: Struthio camelus australis
Lineage: Eukaryota; Metazoa; Chordata; Aves; Struthioniformes; Struthionidae
Description: lncRNA (ENSSCUG00000006630.1)
Source: RNAcentral
AUACUUUGUAGUGCCAACAGACAGAUCCAAAAUUACACUGUGACUCAUUCAUAAGGCAUUCAAACAUUUUUAUUUUCUUAAAAUGUCUGAGGUUUGAAUCAUCCAAGGCUCCAUCAAAAGAAGAAGAAAGCAAGCACUUUCUCCUUUCAGACAAGAGGUUUUGAGGAGAGGCUAUGUACUUCACCAGUCAACGCGGGAACGGGUGGAAUUCAAAGCCGCAGAUUCAAAAGCAGAGGAAUUAUUUCAAGAUAAUGUCAAAAACUCAGUGGCAACGAUGAAUCGUGGAAGAUUUCUUUCAAUUUUGUCCGAAAUCUUUGCCUCUGCUGACGCCCAAGGAAAUGGUAAGGAUUCAGCAAAAUAACAGACGGAAAUUCUUAUCUGGCAAUUGUUCGCUUAAAAGCCAGU